UGAUUGGUGCUUGCAUCAUGAUUUACAUUUGAGUGAGUGGCGAACUGGUGAGUAACACGUGGGAAACCUGCCCAGAAGCGGGGGAUAACACCUGGAAACAGAUGCUAAUACCGCAUAACAACUUGGACCGCAUGGUCCGAGCUUGAAAGAUGGCUUCGGCUAUCACUUUUGGAUGGUCCCGCGGCGUAUUAGCUAGAUGGUGGGGUAACGGCUCACCAUGGCAAUGAUACGUAGCCGACCUGAGAGGGUAAUCGGCCACAUUGGGACUGAGACACGGCCCAAACUCCUACGGGAGGCAGCAGUAGGGAAUCUUCCACAAUGGACGAAAGUCUGAUGGAGCAACGCCGCGUGAGUGAAGAAGGGUUUCGGCUCGUAAAACUCUGUUGUUAAAGAAGAACAUAUCUGAGAGUAACUGUUCAGGUAUCGACGGUAUUUAACCAGAAAGCCACGGCUAACUACGUGCCAGCAGCCGCGGUAAUACGUAGGUGGCAAGCGUUGUCCGGAUUUAUUGGGCGUAAAGCGAGCGCAGGCGGUUUUUUAAGUCUGAUGUGAAAGCCUUCGG
RNAcentral lists this ribosomal RNA (562 nucleotides) under uncultured bacterium. RNAcentral describes it as "bacterial SSU rRNA". It matches the Rfam family "Bacterial small subunit ribosomal RNA", at positions 70 to 607 of the family's 1533-position model. The record is from RNAcentral.